This is a long non-coding RNA of Triticum aestivum (bread wheat), 3126 nucleotides long. RefSeq lists it as uncharacterized. The transcript is spliced from 10 exons. The record is from RefSeq and is a predicted model, not a curated record. NCBI's taxonomy places the organism in Eukaryota, Viridiplantae, Streptophyta, Magnoliopsida, Poales, Poaceae.
GCAAAGACAGCCGUACGAACAGAAAACACCAUACGAAGAGGGAGCAAGCCCCCUCGCAGGAACCAGAGAUCCAUGCCCUAUGCCGCUGCCACUGCCUCCUCCUCCUCCUCCACCUCCAUUCCCAAGCGAUGGCGCCCACGGCCGCGGUUUUCUCCCCCAGCCACCAUGGCUGCAGAUCCACCCACGGCCGAUCGUCUAAGUUGCAAGCAUGGAUGGAUGGAUCCAGGAAGGUAUCCUUCCUCCCUAGGUGGAGCUAGCUGCAGAUCCCGUUCGGCCCUCUAGAGUCGGCCAUCUCCGCCUCCUCCUCGCCGCCGCCGCCACCGAGGAUCACGUCUUCACCAAGCGCGAGCUCCGCCCCAUCUGACCGACCGCAAAGGGGUGAGUUUUCUUCAUCCCGAACCCUCCCGAUUUGCUUACUGCACUCUUGCCAUUCCAAUGGAGACCAACCUCCUCUGGAUGACCCCCAACUCUGCAUCUCUCUCCCAAUUACCCUCACCCCGCCAGUUUGUUGCGGGUUGUCCAUUGUAAAUUUUCAAGGAGAUUCAAAUGUUCCUCUUCUGGCCGAUUUAAGAUACUACUUGGUCCAAUUUUGCCACAAAAAAUAAUGCUAUCUUGUCAUAGAUUACACGUAUAUGCUUAUGAGAAUUUUCAUGUUUGUUAGAUUAAAAAAACUAUAUUUUCUCCUUUUAGCCAGUGGUUAAUUUAGCAGAGCGUUAGCAUAGUAUUGGUCUGAUCAGCGGGAUGAUGAUCACGAAGUCCUGUUGAUAAUCAUCAUGUUGUGAUUUUUCAGUGUCCAAUAGAACUUGUAGUGUCCUCAAAUCAGCAAAGAUAGUAGCAGUUUCUAGUAGACCUUUUAUACGGUGAUAUUGGUUAACAUAUUGAUUUGUUAAUAUUUUUUAAGUAUAAAAGCUAAUUGUAAUCUGCACAAGAGCCAAACCUGCAGAAGGUUAGAGUGCAUGCAGCAGUUUCAGAACCUAGGGAAACUUGCCUGACUGGUCUCUUUAAUAUUUAGUGAGUCUGUCCAUGCACUUUUAGUUCUACUCACCACUAAAGAUAUCUACAACUUACAUGUUGAACGCAUAGUUUAAUUCGAACAGUAACAUGGUCUAAGUCCGCAUACAAGGUUACUGUACACAGAAUCAUAUAAAGAUUAAUUUUUGGACUGUGAAACUAAAUUGGACUGCUACUUUUAAACCGUACAUCAAAAUAGUGCAAAUAGAUAGUCUGUAGAAAGCAUGGGACGUAUCUCUCCUUUUUUUGCGAUUGAUCUCCACAUUAUGUUUGGAGUCCAAGUCAAAAUUAUGCAGUUUUUGAUAGAGGAUUUGGAAAGACCGAAUCUGUUUAGUAGGUGGAUUACCCAAAAUAGUUCACUUCAUCCAACCCAACCUCACAUCACUGUGGAAAGUUUGUAGCACUUAUUUUAUAUGCAGAGCACUUGUGAACUAGGAUUUUGACCAAAAGAUUUCGAGUGUUUUGUGUGAGCUUGCAUUGCAGGGAUACUUGAAGCUAGGGCAAUCCAAGUAAGAUAGCUUCAUCCUCAGACAACAGGUUUAUGUUAUCUUAUCAUGGAGUCAUUUUUAAGUUUGUGCCCAACGCCUUCAUCCUUAGAAUGGCCACCCAGAUGGCAAGCCACCAUACUCAGGCGACUGUCGCGCUAGCUGGGUGCUCCAACUUUUGAUGCUGGCGAAGCUUUUGGAAUGAUGGCUGCAUCAUUUGUUAGUCUCCGUUGGAAGCUUAAUUAAACUGAGCUUCUCUGAAGGUUCAGAUGUGUGGCAAAGGAUUUCAAUUUUCCUGUUUACACAAAGGAAACUUGAAGAAGGUUCAGACUUCUCAUGCUCGGUGUUGUGCUCUCAAGGUUACAUAGACAAAAAAGCCUCCUAUUUACACAACGGCAACCCGACGAAGGUUCAGAUUUCUCAUGACUGGUUCAAUGGGAUGACGGGGUGGGGCGGGAGGCGGGGAAAGCCAUCCAUGGCGAUCCUGGCGGCGUUGCUAAUGGCGUCAGUGGCACUGCCGCUCCUCAUGGUGCCCGACAUGCUCUCUAUGCCAUGCUCUGACGGCAUGGAUCGCGGCGCCGCCCUGUCGCUCCCACGCCCGCGCUUCAGCAGAUCCGCGUUCGAGUCGUGCAUACCUUUAGCCACCUCCUCUCCAAUGUCCACGACUCUGAUAUACCGUGUUUGUUAGUCUUGACUGGUGUUUGUUCUCUGUUUUGUUGUGCAGGAGGCUGGAGAAGAGCAGGGAGAAAGGGGAGUCGUGUAUGGAGGUUCUGUACUUUUGUUGUAUCAACAUCUUCUCCGUUUGUCCUACAUGGCCGAGCGAGAUCGAAGCUAGCCGCCGGUAAUGUUCUUCUCCCGUGCAAGUUCUGCACUGCACUAAAGCAUCCAACACAUGGAACGGAGGGAGUAGGUGGUACAUCAACCAAGUAUGUUUCAAGGUGAGACAUCCAUCAAGUUUGUUUGGAGGCACAGGUCAAGCAUCAGAACAGUAUGUUGUACUAUUUGGUUUCAUCGGUCAAUAUGGAAAUUCAACUAGCAAGGCACUGGAACAUAGAACAACUUCAGAUGUACCUCUACCCCAUCUAGAUGACCUACAUUACCGAGGGAUUCCAGAUAUAUGUAAAGCUAUACAUGGCAAAGAUCAUGCGUACUCACUAUGACAUUGUAUAUACAUAAUGAUUAUUUUUGUCUGGUAUGGCGCUGUAAAUAAAUGAACCCGAGGCGAGUUUGAUUGUUUCGCUGGUUUUUGCAAGCAUAUUUCUAAGGCGCAGUAAAUAAAUGAUUUCUUUGGGCAAUGAUUAGAGGAAGAUCUUGUUUGAAGCAAAUAAGGGCCUUAGAAGAAAAUAAAAAAGCACAUCCAUCUCGAUAAGCAUUAUGGGAACGGACAAAGGCAAGGCAUUCCAAUAUAAGAAAUGGAUGAAGGCAAGAGCCCGGCAUGAAGGGUGGGUCCAGUAUAUAAGCAGGUGGUACUAGCACUAAGAUAGGAAGGUGAUUUCUGCCCUUGUCCUUUGUUGGUGGCUUGCCAAGGCGGCGGCGAUCACUGGUUCAAUUUGAACACGAGUUAGUGGAUUUUGUUAUAAGAGUGAGGUUUAAGAGUGGGUGGGAUAGUUGUUUGGGUUGAUCUGUUCAG